Molecule: ribosomal RNA, 2903 nt
Filed under: Escherichia coli
Lineage: Bacteria; Pseudomonadati; Pseudomonadota; Gammaproteobacteria; Enterobacterales; Enterobacteriaceae
Description: 23S ribosomal RNA
Rfam family: Bacterial large subunit ribosomal RNA
Source: RNAcentral
GGUUAAGCGACUAAGCGUACACGGUGGAUGCCCUGGCAGUCAGAGGCGAUGAAGGACGUGCUAAUCUGCGAUAAGCGUCGGUAAGGUGAUAUGAACCGUUAUAACCGGCGAUUUCCGAAUGGGGAAACCCAGUGUGUUUCGACACACUAUCAUUAACUGAAUCCAUAGGUUAAUGAGGCGAACCGGGGGAACUGAAACAUCUAAGUACCCCGAGGAAAAGAAAUCAACCGAGAUUCCCCCAGUAGCGGCGAGCGAACGGGGAGCAGCCCAGAGCCUGAAUCAGUGUGUGUGUUAGUGGAAGCGUCUGGAAAGGCGCGCGAUACAGGGUGACAGCCCCGUACACAAAAAUGCACAUAUUGUGAGCUCGAUGAGUAGGGCGGGACACGUGGUAUCCUGUCUGAAUAUGGGGGGACCAUCCUCCAAGGCUAAAUACUCCUGACUGACCGAUAGUGAACCAGUACCGUGAGGGAAAGGCGAAAAGAACCCCGGCGAGGGGAGUGAAAAAGAACCUGAAACCGUGUACGUACAAGCAGUGGGAGCCUCUUUUAUGGGGUGACUGCGUACCUUUUGUAUAAUGGGUCAGCGACUUAUAUUCUGUAGCAAGGUUAACCGAAUAGGGGAGCCGAAGGGAAACCGAGUCUUAACUGGGCGUUAAGUUGCAGGGUAUAGACCCGAAACCCGGUGAUCUAGCCAUGGGCAGGUUGAAGGUUGGGUAACACUAACUGGAGGACCGAACCGACUAAUGUUGAAAAAUUAGCGGAUGACUUGUGGCUGGGGGUGAAAGGCCAAUCAAACCGGGAGAUAGCUGGUUCUCCCCGAAAGCUAUUUAGGUAGCGCCUCGUGAAUUCAUCUCCGGGGGUAGAGCACUGUUUCGGCAAGGGGGUCAUCCCGACUUACCAACCCGAUGCAAACUGCGAAUACCGGAGAAUGUUAUCACGGGAGACACACGGCGGGUGCUAACGUCCGUCGUGAAGAGGGAAACAACCCAGACCGCCAGCUAAGGUCCCAAAGUCAUGGUUAAGUGGGAAACGAUGUGGGAAGGCCCAGACAGCCAGGAUGUUGGCUUAGAAGCAGCCAUCAUUUAAAGAAAGCGUAAUAGCUCACUGGUCGAGUCGGCCUGCGCGGAAGAUGUAACGGGGCUAAACCAUGCACCGAAGCUGCGGCAGCGACACUAUGUGUUGUUGGGUAGGGGAGCGUUCUGUAAGCCUGUGAAGGUGUGCUGUGAGGCAUGCUGGAGGUAUCAGAAGUGCGAAUGCUGACAUAAGUAACGAUAAAGCGGGUGAAAAGCCCGCUCGCCGGAAGACCAAGGGUUCCUGUCCAACGUUAAUCGGGGCAGGGUGAGUCGACCCCUAAGGCGAGGCCGAAAGGCGUAGUCGAUGGGAAACAGGUUAAUAUUCCUGUACUUGGUGUUACUGCGAAGGGGGGACGGAGAAGGCUAUGUUGGCCGGGCGACGGUUGUCCCGGUUUAAGCGUGUAGGCUGGUUUUCCAGGCAAAUCCGGAAAAUCAAGGCUGAGGCGUGAUGACGAGGCACUACGGUGCUGAAGCAACAAAUGCCCUGCUUCCAGGAAAAGCCUCUAAGCAUCAGGUAACAUCAAAUCGUACCCCAAACCGACACAGGUGGUCAGGUAGAGAAUACCAAGGCGCUUGAGAGAACUCGGGUGAAGGAACUAGGCAAAAUGGUGCCGUAACUUCGGGAGAAGGCACGCUGAUAUGUAGGUGAAGUCCCUCGCGGAUGGAGCUGAAAUCAGUCGAAGAUACCAGCUGGCUGCAACUGUUUAUUAAAAACACAGCACUGUGCAAACACGAAAGUGGACGUAUACGGUGUGACGCCUGCCCGGUGCCGGAAGGUUAAUUGAUGGGGUCAGCGCAAGCGAAGCUCUUGAUCGAAGCCCCGGUAAACGGCGGCCGUAACUAUAACGGUCCUAAGGUAGCGAAAUUCCUUGUCGGGUAAGUUCCGACCUGCACGAAUGGCGUAAUGAUGGCCAGGCUGUCUCCACCCGAGACUCAGUGAAAUUGAACUCGCUGUGAAGAUGCAGUGUACCCGCGGCAAGACGGAAAGACCCCGUGAACCUUUACUAUAGCUUGACACUGAACAUUGAGCCUUGAUGUGUAGGAUAGGUGGGAGGCUUAGAAGUGUGGACGCCAGUCUGCAUGGAGCCGACCUUGAAAUACCACCCUUUAAUGUUUGAUGUUCUAACGUGGACCCGUGAUCCGGGUUGCGGACAGUGUCUGGUGGGUAGUUUGACUGGGGCGGUCUCCUCCUAAAGAGUAACGGAGGAGCACGAAGGUUGGCUAAUCCUGGUCGGACAUCAGGAGGUUAGUGCAAUGGCAUAAGCCAGCUUGACUGCGAGCGUGACGGCGCGAGCAGGUGCGAAAGCAGGUCAUAGUGAUCCGGUGGUUCUGAAUGGAAGGGCCAUCGCUCAACGGAUAAAAGGUACUCCGGGGAUAACAGGCUGAUACCGCCCAAGAGUUCAUAUCGACGGCGGUGUUUGGCACCUCGAUGUCGGCUCAUCACAUCCUGGGGCUGAAGUAGGUCCCAAGGGUAUGGCUGUUCGCCAUUUAAAGUGGUACGCGAGCUGGGUUUAGAACGUCGUGAGACAGUUCGGUCCCUAUCUGCCGUGGGCGCUGGAGAACUGAGGGGGGCUGCUCCUAGUACGAGAGGACCGGAGUGGACGCAUCACUGGUGUUCGGGUUGUCAUGCCAAUGGCACUGCCCGGUAGCUAAAUGCGGAAGAGAUAAGUGCUGAAAGCAUCUAAGCACGAAACUUGCCCCGAGAUGAGUUCUCCCUGACCCUUUAAGGGUCCUGAAGGAACGUUGAAGACGACGACGUUGAUAGGCCAGGUGUGUAAGCGCAGCGAUGCGUUGAGCUAACCGGUACUAAUGAACCGUGAGGCUUAACCUU